CCACAUUUUAUCGUCCGUUCCUUUAUAAGCGAGUGCUUUUCCUGUCCGACAGGACUGAGUAACCCGUUGAACUUCCUUCGUACUGGGGAUAGGGGAUUGUAAUUGUUUUCCUUUGAACGAGGAAUUCCCAGGAAAAGCGAGUCAUAAGCUCGUGUUGAUUACGUCCC
This 167-nucleotide non-coding RNA is filed under the name Stegodyphus mimosarum. Its description in RNAcentral is "eukaryotic small subunit ribosomal RNA". It matches the Rfam family "Eukaryotic small subunit ribosomal RNA", at positions 1520 to 1653 of the family's 1831-position model. Lineage: Eukaryota; Metazoa; Arthropoda; Arachnida; Araneae; Eresidae. The record is from Rfam by way of RNAcentral.